This is a long non-coding RNA of Eublepharis macularius, 488 nucleotides long. RefSeq lists it as uncharacterized. NCBI's taxonomy places the organism in Eukaryota, Metazoa, Chordata, Lepidosauria, Squamata, Eublepharidae. The record is from RefSeq and is a predicted model, not a curated record. The transcript has 4 exons.
GAACAUUCCUCCACGCUGCAGGUCUGAGCAUUUUGAGGACACAGCAGUUGUGCAAUGAGUUAACAGAGGCCCCAGGCUCACUGUUUUUGAAAGUUCCAGCUUAUCCAGGAGCGAGCAAGAGCAUGAACAUCACCCCCAUUCUGCAGUCACUCCAUUCGCUGCCAAUCAUCUACCAUGCUCAGUUCAAGAGGGAGGACAGACGUGUGGAGGAACCAUACCCAAACCGAUUCCAGUGCUUGUUGAUUGACUGCUAAGAAAAUCAGGAAAGUAAAUAAGCGUCCUGCUGCAUCAAGCAAAGCAUCCAUCAAGUCGAACAUCCAAUUUUCCACAGGGGCAGGCCAAGAAUCUAGCAAGUAGGGUAUGAAGGCAAAUUCCCUGGUCUAUGUGCUGCAGAAAUUGGCAUUCAGUGGUAUCCUGCUUCGGAAUAUGGAGGUUCCAUUUCAGCAACAUGGCUAAUUGUCAUUGAUAGACUUGCCCUCUGUGAAUUU